Molecule: long non-coding RNA, 220 nt
Organism: Dendronephthya gigantea
Lineage: Eukaryota; Metazoa; Cnidaria; Anthozoa; Malacalcyonacea; Nephtheidae
Exons: 3
Source: RefSeq, a predicted model, not a curated record
AUCGAGGAAUUGUUUUAAAAGUGACUGGGAAUCUCAGUCAUCUCAGAGAUGGUGGAUUAUAAACAAAGUGCCAAGUGUCAUCUAAGUCUGUAAUAAACGAGCAGGAAAGUAUGGUGCCAAGGUCUUCCAUUUGAUGAAAAAUGUCAACUUAAUAUUCAGUGAAUCUACUAGUUCAAGAAAAGAAACAAGAAAAGAAGGCAUUUGACUUGGUUUAAGGAAA